This 253-nucleotide ribosomal RNA is filed under the name uncultured bacterium. Its description in RNAcentral is "partial 16S ribosomal RNA". It matches the Rfam family "Bacterial small subunit ribosomal RNA", at positions 524 to 776 of the family's 1533-position model. The record is from RNAcentral.
UACGUAGGUGACCAGCGUUGUCCGGAUUUACUGGGCGUAAAGAGCGCGCAGGCGGUCGUUCAAGUCGAGUGUGAAAGCCCCCGGCUCAACUGGGGAGGGUCAUUCGAUACUGAUCGACUCGAAGGCAGGAGAGGGAAGUGGAAUUCCCGGUGUAGCGGUGAAAUGCGUAGAUAUCUGGAGGAACACCGGUGGCGAAGGCGGCAUCCUGGACCGGUAUUGACGCUGAGGCGCGAAAGCCAGGGGAGCAAACGGG